Molecule: non-coding RNA, 75 nt
Organism: Myotis brandtii (Brandt's bat)
Lineage: Eukaryota; Metazoa; Chordata; Mammalia; Chiroptera; Vespertilionidae
Source: Rfam
GGUGGUUCUCAGGUGAUGAGCUCCGGAAUAGGCCUCCCUCCUCUCUGGUUCCGGGUGCAUCAUCCGAAAACCACA